RNAcentral lists this ribosomal RNA (301 nucleotides) under uncultured bacterium. RNAcentral's name for it is "partial 16S ribosomal RNA". It matches the Rfam family "Bacterial small subunit ribosomal RNA", at positions 509 to 807 of the family's 1533-position model. The record is from RNAcentral.
CAGCCGCCGCGGUAAUACGAAGGGGGCUAGCGUUGUUCGGAAUUACUGGGCGUAAAGCGCACGUAGGCGGACAUUUAAGUCAGGGGUGAAAUCCCGGGGCUCAACCCCGGAACUGCCUUUGAUACUGGGUGUCUAGUGUAUGGAAGAGGUGAGUGGAAUUCCGAGUGUAGAGGUGAAAUUCGUAGAUAUUCGGAGGAACACCAGUGGCGAAGGCGGCUCACUGGUCCAUUACUGACGCUGAGGUGCGAAAGCGUGGGGAGCAAACAGGAUUAGAUACCCCUGUAGUCCCUGUCUCUUAUAC